UCGCCUGUUUAUCAAAAACAUAGCUUCUUGAAAUUAUAAGAAGUGAAGCCUGCCCAGUGAAUUUUAAACGGCCGCGGUAUCUUGACCGUGCAAAGGUAGCAUAAUAAUUUGUCUUUUAAUUGAAGACUAGAAUGAAUGGCAUUUCAUUUUCUAUCUGUCUCCCUAUAUUCUCAUUUAAAUUCUUAUUUCCGUGAAGAAACGGAAAUAAAAAAGCAAGACGAAAAGACCCUGUCGAGCUUUAGUUAAAAAGAAUUAUAAAAAAGAUUUUUCUUUUUAAAACUUCUCUUUUAAACUUUGGUUGGGGUAACCAUGGAGGAUAUAUUCUCCAGAAAAAAAGAUGAACUCUAUUCUCUUUAUAAUAUUAUGAACCAAAAAUUUUGGUAAACGGAAACAGUUACCGCAGGGAUAACAGCGUAAUCUUCUUUAAGAGCCCUUAUUGACAAGAAGGUUUGCGACCUCGAUGUUGGAUUGGGGCAUCCAAAAAGUGCAGCCGCUUUUAAAGGUUGGAUUGUUCAUCCAUUAAAGCCCUACGUGAUCUGAGUUCAGACCGGA
RNAcentral lists this ribosomal RNA (552 nucleotides) under Enypniastes eximia. RNAcentral's name for it is "partial 16S ribosomal RNA". It matches the Rfam family "Bacterial large subunit ribosomal RNA", at positions 1796 to 2620 of the family's 2925-position model. Lineage: Eukaryota; Metazoa; Echinodermata; Holothuroidea; Elasipodida; Pelagothuriidae. The record is from RNAcentral.